GGGGGUAUAGCCCAGUGGUAGAGCAUUUGACUGCAGAUCAAGAGGUCCCUGGUUCAAAUCCAGGUGCCCCCU
Molecule: transfer RNA, 72 nt
Filed under: Alligator sinensis (Chinese alligator)
Lineage: Eukaryota; Metazoa; Chordata; Crocodylia; Alligatoridae
Rfam family: tRNA
About the family: Transfer RNA (tRNA) molecules are approximately 80 nucleotides in length. Their secondary structure includes four short double-helical elements and three loops (D, anti-codon, and T loops).
Source: Rfam by way of RNAcentral